AAUAAGUGCAGCCGUAGAAAUCCGUGUCCAACGUUUGACCGUUCGUCUUAUUUGAAAAAUUUAUGAGGAAAUUAAAAUAAGUUAGUCACACAUAAAGUAUUAUUCAUGUUUUAUCAUCUAAUAACAAUAAAAAUAUUAAUCGUAAAAAAAUUUCAAAUAAAAUGAACGGUCAAACGUGAGACAUGAACAGUGUAAAACUGUACUUAUU
Molecule: non-coding RNA, 208 nt
Organism: Oryza glaberrima (African rice)
Lineage: Eukaryota; Viridiplantae; Streptophyta; Magnoliopsida; Poales; Poaceae
Source: Rfam